This 2886-nucleotide ribosomal RNA is filed under the name Vibrio cholerae B33. Its description in RNAcentral is "bacterial LSU rRNA". It matches the Rfam family "Bacterial large subunit ribosomal RNA". The record is from RNAcentral. Lineage: Bacteria; Pseudomonadati; Pseudomonadota; Gammaproteobacteria; Vibrionales; Vibrionaceae.
GGUUAAGUGACUAAGCGUACACGGUGGAUGCCUGGGCAGUCAGAGGCGAUGAAGGACGUACUAACUUGCGAUAAGCGCAGAUAAGGCAGUAAGAGCCGUUUGAGUCUGCGAUUUCCGAAUGGGGAAACCCAACUGCAUAAGCAGUUACUGUUAACUGAAUACAUAGGUUAACAGAGCAAACCGGGGGAACUGAAACAUCUAAGUACCCCGAGGAGAAGAAAUCAACCGAGAUUCCGGUAGUAGCGGCGAGCGAACCUGGAUUAGCCCUUAAGCACUCGGUGAAGUAGGUGAACAAGCUGGAAAGCUUGGCGAUACAGGGUGAUAGCCCCGUAACCGACGCUUCAUCGAGCGUGAAAUCGAGUAGGGCGGGACACGUGAUAUCCUGUCUGAAUAUGGGGGGACCAUCCUCCAAGGCUAAAUACUCCUGACUGACCGAUAGUGAACCAGUACCGUGAGGGAAAGGCGAAAAGAACCCCUGUGAGGGGAGUGAAAUAGAACCUGAAACCGUGUACGUACAAGCAGUAGGAGCACCUUCGUGGUGUGACUGCGUACCUUUUGUAUAAUGGGUCAGCGACUUAUAUUCAGUGGCAAGGUUAACCGUAUAGGGGAGCCGUAGCGAAAGCGAGUCUUAACUGGGCGCUCAGUCUCUGGAUAUAGACCCGAAACCGGGUGAUCUAGCCAUGGGCAGGUUGAAGGUUGAGUAACAUCAACUGGAGGACCGAACCGACUAAUGUUGAAAAAUUAGCGGAUGACUUGUGGCUAGGGGUGAAAGGCCAAUCAAACUCGGAGAUAGCUGGUUCUCCCCGAAAGCUAUUUAGGUAGCGCCUCGGACGAAUACUACUGGGGGUAGAGCACUGUUAAGGCUAGGGGGUCAUCCCGACUUACCAACCCUUUGCAAACUCCGAAUACCAGUAAGUACUAUCCGGGAGACACACGGCGGGUGCUAACGUCCGUCGUGGAGAGGGAAACAACCCAGACCGCCAGCUAAGGUCCCAAAGUAUUGCUAAGUGGGAAACGAUGUGGGAAGGCUCAGACAGCUAGGAUGUUGGCUUAGAAGCAGCCAUCAUUUAAAGAAAGCGUAAUAGCUCACUAGUCGAGUCGGCCUGCGCGGAAGAUGUAACGGGGCUAAGCAAUACACCGAAGCUGCGGCAAUGUCUUUUAGACAUUGGGUAGGGGAGCGUUCUGUAAGCCGUUGAAGGUGAAUCGUAAGGUUUGCUGGAGGUAUCAGAAGUGCGAAUGCUGACAUGAGUAACGACAAAGGGGGUGAAAAACCUCCUCGCCGGAAGACCAAGGGUUCCUGUCCAACGUUAAUCGGGGCAGGGUGAGUCGACCCCUAAGGUGAGGCCGAAAGGCGUAAUCGAUGGGAAACGGGUUAAUAUUCCCGUACUUCUGACUAUUGCGAUGGGGGGACGGAGAAGGCUAGGUGGGCCAGGCGACGGUUGUCCUGGUUCAAGUGCGUAGGCUUGAGAGUUAGGUAAAUCCGGCUCUCUCUAAGGCUGAGACACGACGUCGAGCUACUACGGUAGUGAAGUCAUUGAUGCCAUGCUUCCAGGAAAAGCCUCUAAGCUUCAGAUAGUCAGGAAUCGUACCCCAAACCGACACAGGUGGUCGGGUAGAGAAUACCAAGGCGCUUGAGAGAACUCGGGUGAAGGAACUAGGCAAAAUGGUACCGUAACUUCGGGAGAAGGUACGCUCUUGAUGGUGAAGUCCCUCGCGGAUGGAGCUGACGAGAGUCGCAGAUACCAGGUGGCUGCAACUGUUUAUUAAAAACACAGCACUGUGCAAAAUCGCAAGAUGACGUAUACGGUGUGACGCCUGCCCGGUGCCGGAAGGUUAAUUGAUGGGGUUAGCGCAAGCGAAGCUCUUGAUCGAAGCCCCGGUAAACGGCGGCCGUAACUAUAACGGUCCUAAGGUAGCGAAAUUCCUUGUCGGGUAAGUUCCGACCUGCACGAAUGGCGUAAUGAUGGCCACGCUGUCUCCACCCGAGACUCAGUGAAAUUGAAAUCGCUGUGAAGAUGCAGUGUACCCGCGGCUAGACGGAAAGACCCCGUGAACCUUUACUACAGCUUGGCACUGAACAUUGAACCUACAUGUGUAGGAUAGGUGGGAGGCUAUGAAGACGUGACGCCAGUUGCGUUGGAGCCGUCCUUGAAAUACCACCCUUGUAUGUUUGAUGUUCUAACUUAGACCCAUUAUCUGGGUUGAGGACAGUGCCUGGUGGGUAGUUUGACUGGGGCGGUCUCCUCCCAAAGAGUAACGGAGGAGCACGAAGGUGGGCUAAUCACGGUUGGACAUCGUGAGGUUAGUGCAUGGCAUAAGCCCGCUUAACUGCGAGAAUGACGGUUCGAGCAGGUGCGAAAGCAGGUCAUAGUGAUCCGGUGGUUCUGUAUGGAAGGGCCAUCGCUCAACGGAUAAAAGGUACUCCGGGGAUAACAGGCUGAUACCGCCCAAGAGUUCAUAUCGACGGCGGUGUUUGGCACCUCGAUGUCGGCUCAUCACAUCCUGGGGCUGAAGUCGGUCCCAAGGGUAUGGCUGUUCGCCAUUUAAAGUGGUACGCGAGCUGGGUUUAGAACGUCGUGAGACAGUUCGGUCCCUAUCUGCCGUGGGCGUUGGAAGAUUGAAGGGGGCUGCUCCUAGUACGAGAGGACCGGAGUGGACGAACCUCUGGUGUUCGGGUUGUGUCGCCAGACGCAUUGCCCGGUAGCUAAGUUCGGAAUUGAUAAGCGCUGAAAGCAUCUAAGCGCGAAGCGAGCCCUGAGAUGAGUCUUCCCUGACAGUUUAACUGUCCUAAAGGGUUGUUCGAGACUAGAACGUUGAUAGGCAGGGUGUGUAAGCGUUGUGAGGCGUUGAGCUAACCUGUACUAAUUGCCCGUGAGGCUUAACCAU